AGCAGUCGCCGCGGGAAUACGAAGGGUGCAAGCGUUAAUCGGAAUUACUGGGCGUAAAGCGUGCGUAGGCGGUUUGUUAAGUCUGUUGUGAAAUCCCCGGGCUCAACCUGGGAAUGGCAAUGGAUACUGGCAAGCUAGAGUGUGUCAGAGGAUGGUGGAAUUCCCGGUGUAGCGGUGAAAUGCGUAGAGAUCGGGAGGAACAUCAGUGGCGAAGGCGGCCAUCUGGGACAACACUGACGCUGAGGCACGAAAGCGUGGGGAGCAAACAGGAUUAGAUACCCCAGUAGUCCCUGUCUCUUAUAC
RNAcentral lists this ribosomal RNA (303 nucleotides) under uncultured bacterium. RNAcentral's name for it is "partial 16S ribosomal RNA". It matches the Rfam family "Bacterial small subunit ribosomal RNA", at positions 507 to 807 of the family's 1533-position model. The record is from RNAcentral.